Molecule: ribosomal RNA, 434 nt
Filed under: uncultured bacterium
Lineage: Bacteria
Description: bacterial SSU rRNA
Rfam family: Bacterial small subunit ribosomal RNA
Source: RNAcentral
GAUGAACGCUGGCGGCGUGCUUAACACAUGCAAGUCGAACGAAGCGCUUAAAUGGAAUUCUUCGGAAGGAAGUUCAAGUGACUGAGUGGCGGACGGGKGAGUAACGCGUGGGUAACCUGCCUCAUACAGGGGGAUAACAGUUAGAAAUGACUGCUAAUACCGCAUAAGCACACGUGAUCGCAUGAUCGGGUGUGAAAAACUCCGGUGGUAUGAGAUGGACCCGCGUCUGAUUAGCUGGUUGGUGGGGUAACGGCCUACCAAGGCGACGAUCAGUAGCCGGCCUGAGAGGGUGACCGGCCACAUUGGGACUGAGACACGGCCCAAACUCCUACGGGAGGCAGCAGUGGGGAAUAUUGCACAAUGGGGGAAACCCUGAUGCAGCGACGCCGCGUGAAGGAUGAAGUAUUUCGGUAUGUAAACUUCUAUCAGCAGGG